Molecule: long non-coding RNA, 1986 nt
Filed under: Salvia miltiorrhiza (redroot sage)
Lineage: Eukaryota; Viridiplantae; Streptophyta; Magnoliopsida; Lamiales; Lamiaceae
Description: long non-coding RNA (SMIL_LNC005693)
Source: RNAcentral
UAGUGGAAAAUCUCACUAAGAAUCUUGAUUCCAAUUGCAAUUAGUGGAGAAUCUCACUUAGUAUCUUGAUUCCAACUGUUCUUAGUUGAGAUUCUCACUAAGAAUCUUGAUUCCAAUUGCAAUGAGUGGAGAUUCUCACUUAGAAUCUUGAUUCCAAUUGCAAUUAGUGGAAAAUCUUGAUUCUUGAAGAAUAAUUAUACUAUAUUUAUUUAUUCAAUAAUAAGUACAUUGAAAACAAAAUUAACAAAAGAAAAAAAGAAGAAGAAAGAAAACAAAAAAAAAAUACAAAAAAAAGAAUAUUACCGGCGGCAUGUAUAUAAAUUAAUUAAUUUUAACAAUGCUGGCGGUGCCGCCGCCGGUAAUCACCGGCGGCAUCCUUGUCGCCGGUAUUUCCGCCGCUAUUUUGAAAAACAUGGGUCGUCCCUCUUGCCGUCGGUGGCGGUAUUUUCACGUAUUUUCACGUUUUUUUGUAGUGAUUAUUAUAGUAUCAUAUACAUUUAUAAAUAAUUAUAUUUAUGCUCAAUCGACAAUCAUAUUUAAUGAUAAUCUAAUUUAAAUAUUUUUAAUAAAAAUGAGUUAAUAAAGCAUAAUACUUGAAUAUUGCAGAACGAUUCAUUCAUUUUAACAACAUAAAUAAAUAAUGAAUGUUAUAUACAGAAACAAACAUAAAACACUACAAUAAAUCAUUAAAUACAAGGAAAAAAUAAGAGAGAAAAAAAAGUCACGUAACCGAUGAACAAUAUCCACUACGUGCGCCUGCUGAGUUUUGUUCACACUGCUCCAAAUAUUAGGUGUAGCAGAAGCACCGUUGAAGAAGGGUUUCACUGCAUUCAAAUAUAAAAAAUUGAUAAAUUUAUACUUUAUUAUUACUCCCUCGGUCCUCUAAAUGAUUUAAUAAAAUUUGUCAUGAUUUUGAUGUAGUUGAGAAGGGUCCCACCACUUUAUGAGAUAUGUGGUUGAGAUUGAAUUUGUGGUGGAUUUUUUUUGUAAAUAAAGAGUGUUUGUAAGGAUAAAAGAUUAAAUUGGGUGGUGGAACCAUUUCUUUAAAAGAAAACUAUUACACUCUUUGCGAACGCCCGAUAUUGUAAUUGUGCCCCACUUUUGGCAGAUGGAGGGAGUAUUAUUUUAUUUAGAAGGAUAAAAUGGAAAUAGAGGUGGCAAGAAGGAUGUUCAAUUUUCUUGUCUUUUUAAGUGGAAAAAAUUGCAUUAUAUAAAGAGGUAAUGCAUAGAAAUUUCUAUGUAACCGAUUUCUAAAGGUAUCAUAUUUUUAUAUUUUAAUACGUUUACCACAUAGUCAAAGUCAUAGUUUAAAAAAAGUGUCGGCAAAGAUUGAAUUGAAAUAUAUAAAAUGAAAAAAGAAAACAAUAUCUUGAAUGAACAUUUGUUAUUCGGCUGCUUUGAUUUCUGUGUUGAUUCAACAUUCUAGUACAGUGAGUAGAUAGGUAGAUUUAUCAGUCAAUUUGUAAAGAUAGAUCACCAGAGAGAUCUAAAUAUGUACUCUGUAUUAUUGAUGAUCAUAGUGAUUUUUGCCUUGAGACACUCACGAGUUAUAUUUAUAUAAUCCGUGAAAAAGUAUUUAUGUGUAUUAUUCUUUCCGCUGCAUGUUGGUAUCAAUGUUAUUAACAUUCUGUUGAUCAACAUUCGUACCAACAUUACUAUUUUUUGCACAGUUUUACUUUUUAUUGGUAAUUUGGGGCACUAUACUUUUUCGACGAUCAACUCUACAUUUCACUCAAUUGAAUAUUCUAUUUUCAUGUUUUCUAUCAUUAAAUAAUUUUUUCAUAGCUUUCAUCCAAUUCUAGUCGGCAAAGAUUAAAUAUAUAAAAUGAAAAAAGAAAACCAUAUCUUGAGUGAAAGGCUGUAUACUCUUCUAGUCUUCUGCUUGAACACGCAUCCAAUUCUAUUCCAUAGCUUUCUCUCUCUCACUCAAUUUCUCUCUUUCUCUCCCCUCAAAAAAAAUUCUCUCUUUCUCUCUCUAAGUUAUCG